UCAACGUGUGGGUCGCGGAGAUGUCGCGUUUCGAGAGCGCGAUGCCGUGGUAUCUGAACGCGGUCCCGUUCGAUCACGAGGCCAGCGCGCCGAC
Molecule: transfer RNA, 94 nt
Filed under: Caballeronia humi
Lineage: Bacteria; Pseudomonadati; Pseudomonadota; Betaproteobacteria; Burkholderiales; Burkholderiaceae
Description: tRNA-Ser
Source: RNAcentral